UAGGGAAUCUUCGGCAAUGGACGAAAGUCUGACCGAGCAACGCCGCGUGAGUGAAGAAGGUUUUCGGAUCGUAAAACUCUGUUGGUAGAGAAGAACGUUGGUGAGAGUGGAAAGCUCAUCAAGUGACGGUAACUACCCAGAAAGGGACGGCUAACUACGUGCCAGCAGCCGCGGUAAUACGUAGGUCCCCGAGCGUUGUCCGGAUUUAUUGGGCGUAAAGCGAGCGCAGGUGGUUUUAU
Molecule: ribosomal RNA, 239 nt
Filed under: uncultured bacterium
Lineage: Bacteria
Description: partial 16S ribosomal RNA
Rfam family: Bacterial small subunit ribosomal RNA
Source: RNAcentral